This 330-nucleotide ribosomal RNA is filed under the name Triticum aestivum (bread wheat). RNAcentral describes it as "partial small subunit ribosomal RNA". Lineage: Eukaryota; Viridiplantae; Streptophyta; Magnoliopsida; Poales; Poaceae. The record is from RNAcentral.
ACAGAGUUCUUCGUUGAAGACUUUGAGUUCCUGCCCAGGACCAUAUAUCACAUCAUCCGGCGGACUCUCUCGCCUAUUAAAGGGCACUCUCCAAAUGCCAAGAUCGAAGGUGCAAUGAAGACUAUGAUAUUCUGUAUCCUUCAUGGCAAAUGGUUCAAAGCACAGGAUUUCUUCAUACACCAACUUGUAGCGUCAGGCUCAGAUUUAUUUGGUUUGAAGUUCUAUGCUCCUUGGGUGAUGAGGCUGAUCAAACUGCACUCUGCGAUCUCGUAUCGGCCCUCAGCUCGAAACCAUCGGAUCUUCUUGCCAGAUGUGGACACCUCCUCUAAA